Molecule: long non-coding RNA, 1380 nt
Organism: Arachis stenosperma
Lineage: Eukaryota; Viridiplantae; Streptophyta; Magnoliopsida; Fabales; Fabaceae
Exons: 3
Source: RefSeq, a predicted model, not a curated record
UUUUGUUGCGGGGUGAGGGAGAAGCUGCGAUUGAAGAAGUAAGAAAUCUUAUGGAGGAAAGGAAUCAGAUGUUGGAUGAAUUAAGGUUUCAACUAGAAAGGGCCCAAAACCGAAUGAGGACAUAUGCUGAUAGAAAGAAGAUGGAUGUAACUUUUGAGUCGGGAGAGUUUGUGUACCUCAAACCGCAGCCUUAUCGAAUGAAGACCUUGGCAAAAAGGGUCAACCAAAAGUUGAGUGCAAGAUUCUAUGGCCCUUAUGAGAUUCUUGAGAAGAUUGGACAGGUUGCCUACAAGCUUAAAUUACCGGAAAGAGUUCGGGUGCAUCCGGUCUUCCAUAUUUUUUUAUUGAACAGCCACUUCCUACAAAUCUAACAGAAGAAUAUGAACUACAAGUUGAACCCCAAGAAAUCUUAGCUAUUAGAAAAAAUUCGGCUGGUAAAUUGGAGGUGUUGAUCAAGUGGAGGGACCGUCCAGAAUUCGAGGAUUCGUGGGAAGCAGCAGCUGCAAUUCAAGAUGCCUUUCCUUCCUUUCACCUUGAGGACAAGGUGAUGCUUCAAGGAUAAGCACUGUUGCACUUGGAUCCUAAGUUAGCUGAAGCUCAAUCUUCUAAUAAACUUGAUCCGAACUCAAAUGGCGGCUCUAAAACUCCUUUUCCUAGUCCUUCUGCUAAGGAAGUUCCCAAAAUGGAAAAAACAAGGAUACAACUGAAACAUCAACUGCAAAGAACUGUGCAUCUAAUAAGGGACAGAGACCGUUGCAAAGUUUGCUUGCAGGGUUUCUACUUUGGUUUUCUAUGUAGCCUAGCUCAAAUGGUACCAAAAAUGUCAAUUAUGUUAUCCUUUUCAUAUCAUGUGAAAAAUGUAUAAUGUAAAAGAUUGCUGACACCGGAUUACAAGACACUAAAGUCUUUGCAGUAGUCCUGUGGUUAUUAUUGGUUCUUGUUUUUGUUCUGAGAUUUUUGCCUACCUGAUGUCCAAAUAAAAGGGUGUGUAUUUAUAUAACUAUAUCAUUUUAUUGAUAUGGAUAAUAUAGAACAUAAAGAUUGAAUAAUAAAUAAUUUAUUUAUAAGUCUGACCGAGCAAAAGAUCAAGUACACACAAACCAGAAACAAAACAAAACUAGUCAUAAAAGGAAAAACUAAUCACACAAACAAUCUCAUUAAACAUUAGGUGAACUAUGGAUGAGGAUGGUGAAAACUAAUCUUCAAACUUUUAAGUUUUACUGGUUGGUUCCUCUGCACCAUUUCCUCUAGUUUGGCUACUUUCAAGACACCUGCAACAUAUAUCUUAUCUGCUACCUUGUCCACAUAUUCAAAGCAAACAUACCUCCAAUUCUUUUUGAAAUACAAAACCACAAGAAUUCCCCAAAAACCGGUGACAAA